CCCCCUCUCCUACGAGGAUAACUUGAUCGGCGGUGUUGGAUGCUGCGCGUGUUGGUGGGGAGCUCUCCCUUCCGCUCCGACCACAUUGACAUAAUCGUCGUUACCACCACUACUACGAAAUCAACCCCACCCGCACCCUCCCUAACACCACCAUCACACUAUCAUAUCACGUAUCUCUACUACCAACAGAGCCGGCGUCGCUACAAGGUCCGGCCACGGAGCUCCGAAGACUCGGAAUACUCGGUUGCGACAGCGCAGAAGCCGCGGACGAAGAGAUGCUGGUCGCGUUUGAUAGUGGUGGGAGAGAGAAGAGGGUCGAGUUGACCGCGGUCGCGCGCGCGUCGCGUCGACUGCUCUCUCCUGCCGGCCUGCAACUUCCCGGAUAUCUUUCCGGUAAACUUUCCUCUCCUCGCCGUAGCCCCGGCUUUUCCCGUCCUGCUCGCUCCGCCGUCGUUUCACGCGUCCGGACGUAUCGUCUGCCGUACUGGCCCGAACCGAGAUCCAGGAUUUCCGACCGGCGCGAGAGACGCCGACGACAUCGCGGGCUGCGUCGCAAGACCGGAAGAAUUCGUCGUUCUUUCUCCUCCUCGUCUCCUUCUUUCUUUGAUUUCCUUCCGACGAGACGUCAAACCCGACGUAAUAAACGUGAAAAGUGUUCUGCUCGCUCGUAGAUAAUGGAACAUGUGCUAAUUGCGUGUUUUUUUUUUUUCAAUGGUGACAUAAAGUUCGAGAUAAAUCUCUUGAUCGGGAGGUAACGUGUGUGGGGUGCGCGAGACACUCUGUAUUGGGAACUAUUGAUUCUUGGACCAAGAUGGAGUCUCCGUUCCUUUGCACGCAUACAUCGUCCAAUAUUAAGAUAUAUGCAUCGUUGUUACUUGAAAUAUUUUCUUCUCAAAUUAAUACAACGCGUCGCAUUAUAGGCUUUGUAUGAUUAGUGUUGUUAAAUUAAAUACGUAUAAUUCAAAUCAUCAAAAUCCACGUUAUCAACAUAAUUUGUCAUUCUAAACAAUUCUGUUGCUUUAAUUAUGUGAAUGUUGUAGGUCGAAGUAUAAACGUGCUGUAUCUACAUUAUUAAAUGGAAAAAAUCAAAAUUAAAAUUGAAAGAUUAUAAUAUAAGCGAUAAAGUAAAGUGUCUUUAUUAUCGGUUCCUUUAUCGCAGAUAUCGGUACCUUUCAGACUGCAACUUUGGCCAUACUUGACACUGAGCCUGUCUUAAAUUGUUCUUUCUUCUGUGUUUCACUCAUAUAUAUUACAAUAAUAAAAAAAAAUUGAUAAAUAUAACAAUACUUGCAUUAAUAACCACAAUAAUAAUAUAUGUAAUAUUAAAUUCACAGUGAAGCAAUACCGUAAUAGCGACAAGUUUGCAAACAAGGAAUUAGGCUGUGCGUAACGAGUGCAGCAGAAGUGAGACCGAAAAACUAGUGAAUUGACGAUAAAUCUCUUCGAAACCAUCGUUUGCAGAAAGUCCUUUUUCAUCAUUAAUCAUUGAUUAGUCAGCCAAGUCACAGUCGUACCUGCUAAACAUGCUUAAUUUCUGCGCCCGGAAAAAUGGUCACCAAUUGUCAACCGCCAUCGACGUUGCUUGACUUUGAAGAUCGUACGUAAUCUAACACUUUGUUAUGACCCAUGAAUACUUCAUGUUUAUGCAUACAUAAUUGUUAUGUAUCAUUUUAAUAAAUGUUGUCAGAAGGAUAAAACAUGUAUAGUUAACUUAUAUUUCUUAUAAAUAAAUGUAUAGUUUUAGUUUUUUACUGAUUUUUACAUAUGCAAAAUAGCAUGUGAAAUAACUUAUGAAAAGUUAUAUCCAUUUUUUGCUCUGUUCGUGAAAAAAUACGAGAUAGAUGCUAUUUCUUAUAAUUUUUGAGUAUUGUUAAUAUGCUAUAUUGUUUCUAUAAGUGUAAUAUUGUCUUAUUCUCUACUUUUUUUAUGUUCCAAUGUUUCAAUUUGUGCUUCUUAUAAUUUUUCUUUACGCUUUUCACUCUUUCAUUACAUUAAAUUCACUUUUCCUAAUAUAAAAAAGUGACAAAUGUAUAAUUUCAGGUAGAAAAUCAACUGCGCGAAAAAGAUAAUAUCAAGUAAAGAGAUUCAAUUUUUUAUUUUAAAAUAAUAUCACUAGUCAUAAUGUGUGUCCUCUUAUCAUUUUGAUUUUAUAGAUAUUUGAGGAAAGAAAUAAUUACUUUUGUAUACGUAAAAAAUUUUGCCUAGCGAAUAGCGAAUUCUUUCAAUUCUUCGAAUCAUUGGGGCAGCCAUAUUCUAUCCUUUUAUGAAAAAUUCUAAGCGGAAAAAAGUAAAAUAAAAAAGAAAAAAGUAAAAA
RNAcentral lists this long non-coding RNA (2314 nucleotides) under Monomorium pharaonis (pharaoh ant). Its description in RNAcentral is "uncharacterized LOC114254450". Lineage: Eukaryota; Metazoa; Arthropoda; Insecta; Hymenoptera; Formicidae. The record is from RNAcentral.